GCACUUGCAGCUGGAAAGUCCCUUUAUGAGCAAGAAUCUUGGUAUAAGAGGUUCCAUCUGCAUCAUGAUCUGGAGUUUGAUGGCCUCUAUGCAAGAAGAAACAAAUUUCGCUAAAAGAUGUAACACACAUGGUCCAAAAACCAGCUGAGGGGGAAAAUAUCGAGUAAAACACUUUCCUAAGAUGUCCUUCAUGGUCAUGCUAAGGAACGAGGGGAGGCCGGACUGAACAGGAGAACAGAAAUGGCUACUCCAGUAUCCAGAAGGAUAGUUCACCUGCUUUCAACCUCCAGAUUCUACUAAUAAUUGCUGUUUUACUAUAAACUUCAUGAAACAGUUUAUCUUUACUAUAAACAAAAUAGAAAUAAAAAAUAAUAUG
Molecule: long non-coding RNA, 376 nt
Organism: Pan troglodytes (chimpanzee)
Lineage: Eukaryota; Metazoa; Chordata; Mammalia; Primates; Hominidae
Exons: 3
Source: RefSeq, a predicted model, not a curated record